RNAcentral lists this ribosomal RNA (561 nucleotides) under Triticum aestivum (bread wheat). Its description in RNAcentral is "partial small subunit ribosomal RNA". Lineage: Eukaryota; Viridiplantae; Streptophyta; Magnoliopsida; Poales; Poaceae. The record is from RNAcentral.
AUGUUUGAGCUGAAGCUCUGCGGUUCAGAUGUAACAUACCUGAAUAUGAUUGCAGUGAUGGAAACCCAAGGAUUUAGUGAAUAUGAUCUGCUGUUUCACAUUGAGAAUUCAGAUUUAGGGGAGAAAGGAUUGGAGAUGGUAGAGAGUAAUGUUGAGUUGCAACUAGUAAAGAGGCAGGUUGAGGAGUGUAAGGUUCUAAAUUUGCUAGCGAGGGCAUGUCCACCUCCUUGCAACCAGUUUGAGAGGCAAGAAUUAUCCACUGUUGUGUAUGAAGGGCAUGUGUUAUAUGAUCUCAGUGAGCCACCCAUCUAUGUUGUUGAUGAAGAAGGAGUUGCCUUUGAAAGUCAGAGUAGCAGCUGCAGUGUAGCUCAUGGUACUGGUGUUUGCACACAAGAGAGCAAGAAUGUAAGAGGAAAACUGAAAGUUGUUUUGGAAAUAGAAGAAGAAGAGGGAUAUGAUGGCAGUGGUGGUUCUGAUUGUGAAGGUGAAGAUGACAGUGAUGUAAACCCUUUUUAUAUGGGUGAUGCUGAUGACAUAGAGAUGGAUGAGGGAAAGAAAUAG